RNAcentral lists this long non-coding RNA (5405 nucleotides) under Dunaliella salina. Its description in RNAcentral is "long non-coding RNA (DSAL_LNC000256)". The record is from RNAcentral. Lineage: Eukaryota; Viridiplantae; Chlorophyta; Chlorophyceae; Chlamydomonadales; Dunaliellaceae.
GUUUGUGUGUGUGUGUGUGUGUGUGUGUGUGUGUGUGUGUGUGUGUGUGUGUGUGUGUGUGUGUGUGUGUGUGUGUGUGUGUGAUAGAAAUACAGAUCAGCAGGAACAGUGGAAAUAUCUGGAGAGAACAGGAAAGAAUGCACUGCACUGCAUUAAAAAGCAAUUCAAGUCAGACUAAAAGUUUGGGACUCACUAUCUUGUACAAAUCCUUCUGCAAGAAUAUCCUGUACUCUCUGCUCUCCAUUCUUUUCAUUCUGUUGAGAGUGCCUUCCUGCAAGAAAUUCGUUACUUCGAGAAAUUUAUUACAUCUCCACAUUCAUGCUCCACAUUUUGCGUUACUUUUGAAGGCUACGCUUCAGUGCAUUAUGAUGCCCUACCUGCCAUAAAUUCUUGCACGAUGCCCUGUUUUGCAACCUUAUAAUUUGAUCUUCUUUAGAUUCAAUCAAGUUGGAAUGUUUUGGUUACUGUUACCUUUGCUGCAGCUGUGCUGCCAUGCAGAGAUAUGCAGUUGCCCUUCCCUUCUUGACAUUCUUAUUCUUUUCUGUGUUGGAUCUUUUCUUCUGCUGAAAGCAGAUAAGCAUUCCUGCACCCUGUGAUCCUGUCAAUAGCAGGACCUUUGUAGGCGCCCAGCUAGAAGUUGGAUUCCUUUUCCUAGGAGUGAACAGAGCUUGGACAUUGGGGUGAGCACCAAGUCAGGUGUUUCAUUGUAUUCUGAGCUGCUCUGUUUGUAUGGAUUUUGACAGCUUAACCCAUGUGUCCAUGAUGGCUCCUGGGCCUCUUUACAGUCAGCCAGAAACAUUAUCAAAUAUAAACAUCGAGCUGCCUGCGGUACCGCUGCUCUGCAAUACAACACUUGCGAGGUAAACUUCAGCUCCCCUGGAUGACAGGCUCAGGGGAGAUUAUUGGCAACACACAGAAACCUAUAACACAAGGUGCAAACAAAUUAACUCCGAGCUACCAACACAAUGUGGAGAGAGAGUUGCAGAAACACUGAAAUCCUUGGAUUGACGUUGCAUGAGCGAGCACUGUAGUGCAUUGAGUAGCACACCAUGGAAUUCUGCAAGGAAAUGGCAUCGACACGGAAACCACUCUUUUCAAAACAACGUUGAACAAACAAAGGCACCUGAGAACUGCAAUGGGAAAGUGAACAAGGCUUUCAACAACACAUGCAAGCAAAAAUAUUUUCUGCCAUAAGCAUGAACAAAUUUCUCACCGACAACGCGAUUUGCUUGCGGAUCAUCGGCUUGCAGACUAGAAAGACAGAACCUGUCUGCACACACCCUGGCAUUGCAGAGGCACAACCUGUACACGUUUUUCCUUUUUUCUAACAUGACGGAUCAUACUGUACAAUAUCGUACUGUACAACGUCAACGCUGUACAUAGCAUGUACAAAACAAACAUUUCCAAAAUAGCUGGAGCUCACUCAGUUGCCCACACAGUUACCAACACAUGGCCUGAACUGAUACUGGCUGCUAUGGAGAUCCUACCAGGUGCAAGAUUUAGAUACCAAGUAAAGACAUGUAUGUACAGUGUUUUUAGAAUCCGGACAGACCUGCAUACAACCUUUGUCUUGUAUGCAGAAAAUCAAAUUGAGAAGACACUGUGUCACGCAAUGUCUACAGCUCUUGGGGCAAAACAAUCCCUGCGGCCUUCUCUGCGCAUACAUGGCCAUAGGGGUGCUCAGGCCUAGAACUGGGGAUUACCCUAGGAGCAUGUGCAAGAUUGCUGCCUACAACCCUGGGAUCCACUUGGGCAGCGUCUGGCUGGUGCUGCCCAUUGACCAGGGGAGGCUGGUGCAGUGAGUGCAAGGGAUGCAAGGAUGCAGAUCUCAUGAUGCUGCAAGAUGCCAGCAGCCGUCCCAAGCACUCCUCCUCUGAUCCAGGGCCAUAUGAGAGUGUUGUUGGUUGCUCUGCACCAGCAGUGAGUGAAUGUGCAGAACAAUGAAGAAGACAACUUUAGUCUGUCAUGGGAAGGCAGUGAUCGAGCACACAUGGCUGAAUGGGGGGGGGGGGUGAAUGCUGAGCGACAGCCAGUGUGCAUGAAGGAAACGUCCAACAGUCAGCGCUGAAGCUGAGAGUAAAUCCUACGCAGUUCAGACCAGGAGGAAAAAGAGGUGCACACAAGCAUACUUCAGCAAUCUGGAUGAAUGAUGAAGUCAGUGUCACUUUGUCUGCUCAACGUUCCAGAUCAGGCAGUAGGUGCUCGGGCACCCAGGUAGGUGCUCGAGUUCGUGCCACAGCACCUACUUUGAUGCCGAUGCAAAUGCAGGGCCCUGCUACAAUGGGAAACCUGGCGGAUGCUGUUGCUGCUGAAGGGGCAAAUUACAGUAUGCAGAGCAUCCCAGCAACAAAACCAGAAGGCACACAAUGUGGCCAGUCCCCAACUCUCUCAAAAUCAAUUCAAAGCAUUCAACGGGAUGCAAUGCUGCCCUCAGCUUUCAAGAGGUGUUCACUCAUGCAAGCAGCAAUCACAUGUCUGCCACAUGACCACAGGCAGCUACAGCAUCUUUUACAAUGUAAGCUUCAAACACAUGCAUGCAUUGCAUAAGCAGCAGCAGCAGCUAUGCAUAUGCAUCAUCUGUAUUUGGCUUGAAUAAGACGUUCAGCUGCAACCCACAAUGCCAACAGUUUCCUAAAAACACACACACACACACACACACACACACACACACACACACACACACACACACACACACACACACACACACACACACACACACACACCGACUUGCUUGGCAAGUGCAGUGGUGUAAGGAAUUGGAAAUGGGCUCAAUCGCAAGCACUCAGCGGCACUCAGCAAGCGUGAGUCGUACGCUAUGUGACUCGUUAUGUGACUCAUUCACUUAUACUGUUACAGCGAGUCUCUUGUUCGCAAUGGAUACAUUUUGUCUGCUCUCAUGUGUCAGCACAUCAUUCUCACCUGCAGGCCAUCAAGCCGCCUUGCAUCAUUUGCGAGCAUGCAUUUGCUCCUACCCACACGUUUCAGGCACACAAAAGCUCACGCAACCCUUGCAAUUUGCAACAGUGAGCAGUAGCUCCUCUUGCCAGGAUUUUGCUUUGCUAGGAAAAUACGGAAAAAGGCGCUUCUAGGAGUGGCUGGAGUGUGCCUCGCCUGGUUCACAACACCCCCGGGGAAAUAUAGCCUGGCUUUGUCAUUAUGAUCCUGUCUUUUGCACGUGCUAGCAACACCUCAAAUACUAUCAUUUAAGGUUUAUAACAAUGAGAUGUUAGCGCUCAGGUGAUGUUCCAGCCAUCAUAAGCUGGCAUGCGCACGUUCCUCUGCAAAGGUUUCCAACAUCCUUCCACGUUUCUUCACGAAAUAAUGGAGUGCGUGGGCCAGCACACUGCAUCAGACUUUGCAUGCAGACAUGAGUGUCCCCCCACCAAAUGCAUGUGAUCCCCCUUUCUCAAGCACACCUGGAACAAGACGCAAGGCGCUGAACGGUUGCACAGCUGUCAUGGCCCUAUGUCUGCAUAUGUCUAGCAUCAGACACGAGUGUGCUACUACCAGUAUGCAUGUGAUGGCGCCGUGCAAACAAGCAGCGUCUUGCCUCAAGCUCCAGGUGUGAUCCAGCUUCCACAGUUGUCCUGGCCCUAUGUCUGCAUAUGUCUAGCCUCAGGCAUGAGUGUUCUUCUACCAAAAUGCAUGUGAUCCCACGCUCUCAAGCACACCUGAAACAGCAGACAGGGCACUGGUUGGUGGCACAGCCGUCAGCGCCUUGUGGCUGCAAAUGUCGAACCUUGCGGCUGCUCGCUGCAGCGCUGCUACUUGCUGCAACCUCAGGAGUGCUUGCUGCUGUGGGAGCAGGCAGGCAGCAGCAAGCUGCUGCUGCUGGUGCUGUUGCAGAAUUUGCUGGUGCCUUUUCUGCUGCUGCUGCUGCUGCUGCCGCACGAGUGGCUUGGUGAAGGUCUGCAGCAGCGCAAAAGCACGGUUGACCUCACCACGCUCGCUGGGGCUCCAGCCUGACAGGAUGUGGGGCUUGGCCAGUACCACCUUGGCUAGCUUGGACAGGAAUGUCCAGGGCUGUGCCUUCAAUGUGUGUGCAGCGCGCAGCAAGGUGCAUAGUUCCUGCGCAGGCAUGCGGUCAGGGGGAUCAUUGAUUGCACGCACAGCUUGCAGAGUUUCACCUUGUGCUUACAUGCUGCCUUCAACAUUCAGUCUGAUCAGUGGUGCUUGGCCUCAGCAUAAAUGCGAGUGAGCAAGGAAGUGUUGAAGUGGUGGAGGCAGCAUCUGUGCAGGUCACGUCCUUCUUCAUUUCACAUUACCAGCCCAAAAGCAGAUCUUGAGCAUAGCAAAAGCAGAAGCACCUGGGGGCAUGACUUCCUGUUUUGCCAGAUUAAGGUAAGCUGCAGUGGAAAAAUUGCAGGAAUUACCUUGGGCUUAAAGCCAAAGUAUGGACCGCUUGUCUGGCCUCCUUGCUCCAUCCUGAAGGCUGCCACGUUAAAGAUCCAUUGCAACAGUUCCCGAUCCAGGAGCUCAGCAAUCUCAAAGGCGUAGACCAUGUUGGCCAAUGCCUGCUCAGGUGAAAAUACAGGAAAAUAAAUCCGUGGGAUUUGAGAUCAUGCCAGAGCAAAUUGCUUCUGGAUCUCUCCUAGUUCAAUACGAAUCCACCAACAUCUUUUGAACGCAGCGUUCUGGUGCUGCACGCUGUUUGCAUGGUCCGAACCUGCUUAGCUCAAUUCAAAUCUUCUUUGGUUACAAGUGCCCAAGGACAUAGCAUUGGAACUUGAGAGCCUCUGGUAAAGCAAGGUGAAGAUCCUGCGAAAAAAGACUGACAGGCAGGAGCAAGAAAGAAAAAAGGGGCUCUCACGGAAGUUUGCAGCUCUUACACACCAAGGUACAAUAAUAAGCAGGCACAGGGGCCAAAGCUCAACUGGGAGAGUUUUACAGUCAAGUUAAAGCUUUGGUUUUUGGCAUUAAAUGGUUGGUCAGUCAAAAGUUAAUACAAGCGCACCCCCUACACCACUGCUUGUUCAUGGCAAGAAUGGUUUGUGACAAGGUGCUGCAGGGAGGCUGACUUUGCCAAGAAGCUGCUUUGGCUGUGUCACUUUCUCAGCCUUACAGCCUGCUCCAUGCAUACAGAACCUGUAGCCCCCCAAGACUCAAGAGCAAGCUGCUGCGCUGAUACUGUGCAUUGCCAAAAGAGUGCUGACCAACUCUUGACGACUCGCUGCUUGUGCAUAGCCUGGCAGGCUGGUGUGUGUGUGUGUGUGUGUGUGUGUGUGUGUGUGUGUGUGUGUGUGUGUGUGUGUGUGUGUGUGUGUGUGUGUGUGUGUGUGUGUGUGAGUGUGUGUGUGUGUGUGUGUGUGUGUGUGUGUGUGUGUGUGUGUGUGUGUGUGUGUGUGUGUGUGUGUGUGUGUGUGUGUGUGUGUGUGUGUGUGUGUGUGUGUGUGUGUGUGCAUGAG